CCCGCUGUGACACUGGGGAGGUGUCACUGCCCGCCGGGUUCCCCCCGAGCGAUGCCCAGCUCCGCACCCCCCCGUCGGCCCUGGUAUCCCCCCUUUAAACGCUGCAGCGCGACUUUGGGGGGGCGAUGCAGACGGAAGGGGGAGCGAUGACUCCUGAUCGGGGGAGUCCCACCAGCGCACGUCGGGGCCAUGCGCCGGCGAGGCUCCGCGUCCGUGCGAGGUUCGGAGGAUGCAGGACCCCUGGGUCCCGUGGAUAUUAUUUUCUUUCUGGAGGCGGGAGCGGCCCCCAGUGCCCCCCGCUGCCCAGGGUUAGCCCGGGACAGCUGCGCGGGCCCGGGGGCUGGAAGGGGGUUGCUGCCGAGCCUGGCUCCUGCCUUCUUGUGCAGGAAAAAAGAAGCACAGCCCCUCUACGGCACCCUCUGCAGUUGGCUCGGGGUCUCGCUGCGCUCCGGGGAGGGGAAGAGGGUGACUUCGAGACCAAAUGGCAUCAUUUCGCUCCCUUCUACAAUGUCCCACAACGGUGUCUUUGGCAGGGAAGCAAACAAAGAGCAGAAACAUUCUCCUUCUAGUUAUUUCUUUCAGCUUUUGCCCCAUGGUACCAUGAAUGCAUGGAUCCAAACUUGUUUUCAUGAGAAUUUGCCCCUUUCUCACCAUUUCCAAACUCUGCAGUCUCAGUCAUAGCCUCCCUCUCCGAUACAUACUCUUGCUAUUAUUCCCCUUGCCAUCACGGUAAAACUUAUCUGUAGCAGAAACACCUGAUCCAGAAGCACAAAAUCCCCCCUUGGAGCCUUUCUAGGGUCAGCUUUCCUCCCAUGCUUGGCUCAGUCCUGCUUCCCACUUGAACCGUGGCAUGUUGAAUUUAUUAUCUGAGCCCUUUUAGGAGCUUGUAGCUAAUAAACAGCACCAAAACCUUCCUGAGUGAUCAGGAGUAGCUUUUGGGGACUGAAGCAGCCAGCAGGAGCUGAAGGACUGUGAUUGCUGCAGCCAGAUCUUGCAAUGCCAUUUCGUGUCCUUCAAAGGCUUUUCAAACUCUUCAGAACUAGGACCACAUCUUACCACAGGAAAAAAUCUCUCCUGUUUAUCAGCUUCUCCUAUGAAUUCAAAGGUACUGUGAAGAUGUCUGGGUGUGAAAGGUGAUCUUCCCAAGGGUUUUUAGUUUCCUUGGAAGGGCUAUAGAAAAGGGAUGUGUCAGGGAGGCAGGGAAGGUGUCCUGGAGCUCUACCUAAUGUCACACAGUCAUGAGCAGCCAGGAGAUGUCCCAGGGAAGGUCAGCAGCCCUUUCUGGCCAUAGUCCAUUGCUUGUCUUUCCAAGGGGUUCAGCGGGAGACUUUCUCAGUGAUCAGAUCUUCAGUGGUCAGGAAGGAGAGAAGGAAAGUCUGGUCUCAGCUGUGCUUGAGGAAACCCAGGACCAUGGAGGCAUCUUUUCAGGAAGACAACGUUGUUGUCAGUGCCCGUGACAGCAGAAGGGCUGCUCCCAGCAGGGCUGGGCACAUCCCUGGGCCCUUGCAGGAUCCAGGGGUUGUUGUUACAGCCCAGGAGUCCACAGACACGCUCCAACGCCCACUGGGACCUAAGGAGAAGAUAGAGAAUUUCAUCCAAGAAUUCCCAGCUGGAGACAUCUGUUCAGCAGCAAGUCACCUGAUGAACAGCUCUAGCCAGCCAAGUGAAGAAGCUGGUUUAGCUGAUCUCAGCAAGUCCAGCCCGUUCCCCCGAUGGGGUUCCUCGCCUGCCCUGCAGAAGCUGGAAAAAGCCAUAAAAACACAGAAAUCCAGGGGCACACUGAGCCCAGGCUGUGGGCACGUUACUCCACUUGUGGUGACACAGCUGGAGAGUGAAGGAUCACCGAGGGAUCAGCAUCUGUCCCACAUGCCCCACCCCCCUCCUUCCACUGCAAUGAUGGAAAACAGCUACAGCCCUGAGACACAUCCAUAAAUCCUUCACGUCUUCCCAUCGGACCUGUGUCCCCCUCUGAACUGGCUGGUUACCCUCUUGCACCCUCUCUAUAGCCCUCUGGAGAUUUUUUCAGUGACAGCCAGGGAAACCAGGCAGAAGGCUUUCACUCUCAGAAAUAAGAAUGAAGGAAAUUUUCAGCACACUUCGAAAUUCAUUUGCCUUCUCUUAAAAACAAAUAGAAUUCUGCUCAUUAUUAUAAAAUAGCCUCCUUCACUACUUUUAUGCCCUCACCCAGAAGUCAGGGUGCCUGAAAAACACGAUUUUAUCAAAUUUACCUUGUCUCUGUGUUGUGCCUAUUGCAGCAAUGCAAACAGAAGGCAAACCAGCCAAGCCACUUGCUCGUGGGUUUAUCCAGCUUCCUCUCUGAUGCUGGAAAAUAACAACAGCUUCAUCUUUCUGUAGGCUUGGGUUUUUUCCAUGUGUGUAUUUUAAAAAUGCUGUUUUCCCCCUGCUUCUGUAGAAUCACAUGAUCAACACUGACAAAUGUAAGGGGUUGUAUUUCAAAGGUAUUCUUAUAAAAAUGCCAGAGAGGUCUGAGCCUGAGGAACAGCCAUACUUAUGAUCUGGAGAGAUUCCAACAAGUAAUACAGCUCAAACCCACUUCCCAAGCUGUGAACGAGCUUCAGCUAUUUGGGAAAUUAUGAUGACUUCAGAUGUGUUUGGGUAGAUAUGUUGCUCUGCCUCUAAGCUUUGGGAAGGGAGGAAAGAAGGAGAAAGAUGCUCAAGGAGAAAAACCCCUUUGGAGGAAAGACCAAAUUGUUGGAAACCUCUGAAGUGUUCGAAUUAAUGUCAUGUCAUUACACUGUAUUGCUGCACAGGUUAAUAUAAUUGGGUUACUGUGUGUGAGCAAUGAUCCAUAGCAUGUUAUGGCACUGAAACAAAUGACAUUUAACCAAGAGAUUUGUAAGGCACCUUGUUAUCUGCAUGGUGAGCAAUUGCAAGGGAGAGUCAGAUUGCUGGACGAGCCACUGACAAAUUAGUUGUUGGGUUUACUGGACAGCUUGGAUUUAUAACCACACAAUUCCAACAUAAUUUAUGAGAUCCAUAAACAGACAGAUCCAGUGUUUUUACUCAGAUUACACUCUUAUUGCAGCCUCUGAUCCUGUCCCGUUUGUGGUGCUGUUUCAUUCAUGCGACACUCAGUCCUUGGCUGGGGGCAAGGUGAGCUGAGAUCAGUAAGGAGCUGCAGGUUUCUAGCAACAAAAAUAUUUACAGCCCAGUUAAUAAAAAAAUAAUUUGCAGAUGGUGGUCCCACACUCCAGCUUUAGUCUUUCCAAAGAGGGAAGGAUGCAAAUAGAAGGGAUGGGUAAAAGAUGCAAAUUCAGUUCAGAAAAGUAUUUUCUUCACUAUCUCCUGGUAGAAGAGAGGCAAAGGCCUUGUCUGCAUGUUAAAAAAUAAACAAAUUGAAUGAGAUGGGGGGGGAAAGGGCUCAGUCCCAUCCAGAUGGUCAUGACGGUCUGUUUUCACCUUGGCCUCUGGAAGAGAGAAAUCUCCCCAUUUCCUUCCAUCUUUUCUGUGCUGGGCUGGAGAGCAAAAACCUCAGCAGUGCCCAAGCUGCAGGACAGAGCUGUGUCCUUUCUGGAAGGGCUUUAUUUGAAAACUCAUUGAAGAGGCACACACAGCUUCCCCAGGCAGAUUAUCCCAAAUCCCUAGCUGGUGGCAGUUCCCCAGUAUCUCUCUGCUAUGGCUUAGGGCAGGGACUUCUUCUUUCCUGAGGGUCAUAGAAAAGAAACCAUGAUGUGCCUCCCUAUGGCCCCUCUAACAGGUUAGGGGACAGCUGUCAGGGCUGUCACCACCCUGUGCCCCCACUGCCUUUCCUCUUCCCUCCUUGCCCAAAUCCGAAUUUCUGCCCUUCCUUCAGCAGCAGCUUUGCAGUCCCUCAGCCAUCCCCCUCCACAGCCGCUGUGUCCCACAGCACUGCAGGGUCAGGGUGCCCAGGGCUGGAUCCAGGCUGCCCUGGCCCUCAGGAGGUCAGCUCAGGGGAACAACUGUGUCCUUCCAGCUUUUUCCAUUCAAGGAAAUGAUGGAACCUCAGCUCUGCUCAGAGCCUUGGCCCACACCAAAAUUUUUAUUAGGUAAUGAGUACCUAAGCUGCUGGCUUAGACCAAAACUACAAGUCCAAGACUACCACUCAACAGAAUAUUCUUACUCCUAAUCCAGCUGGCAUCUUGGGAUCUCUUGCUUGCUUUCUAGGUUAGAGGACAGUUUUGUUUGGGCUAGAAAAACUCUGCAGAGAUGUCCAAGUGUUUUGGGUGUUCCCCCACAGAGAGGAGUCCAAACUCAAUCAAAACCCUGCCAGCCAUGAGCUGUGGGUGAGUUUGAAGUCCCAGGCUGAGAUGUGGAGCUGCACGAGCAUCUCUCUGCACCCUGGGGCUGAGCCCAGCUGAUGGCAGGGAAGAACCCAGGACCAAGUCUGUCAUUUGUCAGCUGAACUAAAGAGUGGAAACACCGGCGUCAAGUGCCACUGGCACUGGCAAGGUGCUGGAGAGGACGUGGCCAGGAUCAGAAAGCAGGACACGGUCUCACUGGUGCUAAAUGGGCAGACUUGGUCCCUCCCUCAUGAGUGUAGGUAGCUAAGGCUGGGCUGUGCUCUGAGCCUGGGCACAGCUCUGAGCCUGGGCUCUGCUCUGAGCCUGGGCACAGCUCUGCCUUUCUCUUGCUCCACAGCUACAGCCCCUAACAGUCCUGCUCAACAAGUCCAUCAGGGGUUCCCCUCAUGUAAAGCUGUUAUUGUUAAAAUAAACACACAUUAACUUCACCAUAUAGCAUUUCACAAGCCUGAGGCACAGCAGUUGGAACAGGAGGCAGCAUGGAUCGAGGUGUGGGAGCAUUUUCCAGGCAAACCCCAAAGGGUUCUCCUGCUGCAGCCUUUGGUGUGGCUGUCCCUGCGUGGGGUGCUGGGUGCUGGGUGCCUGGAGCAGCACAGUGCAGGCUCCUCCCAACUGCUGCUCUUUUAAACAGAUCUAAGAACCUGGGGGAGCUUGGGCUGGGUGAGUCAGAUGUGCUGGAUACUCCAAUCCCUGCCUGAACCAGCAUCAAACCCCGAUGGACUGAAACACCACAAAAACAAACCCUGCCUAUCCCUGCCUGAUGUCUUCCUGGGCAGACUUUGACAAGUUGCUUGCUUGGAAUAAUUUGAUUCUUUUUUAAUAUUUAAAAAUAUUACAGGCCAAGUUCAUGCAUGGUUUAGCAUUGUUUCAAUUAAUCUACCCAUGGGUAAAGCCAGUGAAAAACUUAGAACUAAAACAAAGCAAACCAACAUUCUUUCUUGUUUUCUUUGAAGAAAUUCUAUACAAAGACGCAGUAGCAGAUUUUAUAUAAAAAUGCCUAAUUAAAGCAAGAGCCCAAACUACGCAUUUUCAUUUUGUUGUGUUCAAGAAGAAAAAAAUCACCCCUACUAAUAAUUACUAAAAAGGAAACUCAGCAGGGUAAGCAAGAGGAAACCUGGCAGGCAAUGGAGGAGGAGAGAUGCUCAGCAUCUGGAGGGGUUAAAUAAACCUGAGCCUGUGAUAAUGCUCUCAUGUUUGCCAGGGAGACUGGGGAGAAAAUCCUAAUGGACCUACUGGAAUCUGUUAAUGCAUUUGGGUUGUGUGUACAGAAAAGACAUGAAGCCAACAGAAGUGGCUAAUGAGAAAUGAUGUGAGCAGUCAGCAGAGAACAUUGUCCAGACCCUGAUGGUGGCAGAGGGAUGUGAACAAUGGCGGGCAGGUGAAGGACUGGGAAGCCUGGUAUGGGAUCACCUUUCAGCCUGAGUGCUGCCAGCACACCCAGGGAAAUGCUGGAUUACAGCUGGGAGAUGAGCUAUCCCUGCAGGGAGGUGCAGAGAGGCAGUUCCCAGCACACACCUCAACCCAGAGACAACACUCCCUUGUGUCACAGGUGAAUAAAUAGACAUUUCCUUGAGCAGACUCUGCCAUCCUGCAGAGUGCAGGGCUGGCACUGGGCUGGCAGCACAAGAAAAAAAUGGUGCCUGUCACCACUAAUGGGAAAAUCCCGUGGCUAAAUGUAAGAAAACUCCGUGUUGGUCCCAGACAUUUGCACUGUCACAGCUCUGGGCAGGGGUUCUCUUCGUGCAGCACCUGCUCUGGGAUGGAAACCUCCGUGUGUUGCCACAGAAAAGCCCAUGUGUGGUCUUGAAUCCCCCAGCUGUGCCUUCCUCCUGGACAAAGGGAGAUGAGCAUAUGACAUGCAUUUCUAGGACACUUGGAUUGUAGGAAAAAUGGCUUUAGAAAGUUUUUAUUUCUAUUGAAUUUUCCUCUGUAUUUUCACUGGAAUUUGAGAAAAGAAAAAUGCAGCUCCUUUUCCUCAUCAACUCAGUGGGAUAUUGCAAAUGUUAGAAAUCUCCAUUUAGGGAUGGGCUUCCUUGCCCUGCUGUUAGUUUUCAGCACCAGCAAGGGCAUUAAAAGACCAAUUUGUGUUCAAGAUAAGAACGAAAAUUCUCAUUUCUGCUGCUGCCAUGAGGCUGAGAUGGAGGAACUGGGGAGACAGAGGUGUCCAGCUGUGACCUUUCUGCUCAGGUGGCCUCCUAAGCUCAUUUGUCUCAGGGCCAGGAUUCUUUCUCGUGUCCCCAUGAAGGAAGCAAAGUGGGAUCCAGCCUGUGUUCUGCUGCCCUUUCACUGUGCUAGUGAUGCUUUGGGGUAUAGGAUGUUAUUUUAGGUCUUUGCUGGUUUAGGUCUCAUUUAAGGAAAUUAUGAACUGUCUUUCUUGAGAAGGGAUGAUAUUUCCCUGAAUUUAAAUAGCUUUGAGCAAACAAGUACCAAUUUGGAUGUACUUUCCCAUUUAAUAUUUGUGUGAUUUAUGCUUUCAAGCAACCCUUCUGCUCUUCUGUUUAUAUGCCCUCCAAGCUCAUUUUUUAACUACAGUUAAUCAGGCUGAAGCAAAACAUAACUCACAGAGAGAGGAUGUUGGCCAACUUUAUAACUUGGGCUACUGUAUUGGAUGUCAGCUCUGCCUCUAAAAAUAACUGCCCUGGGACAGGUGCCUUCCCUGGCCAGCAAAAUUUAAUGUUAAAAUCCUGGCUAGCAGAAGCCUUGGAAGGGAAGAAGCUCAUUAGCAUUUGAAGGGGGGAAGGAUUGGUAUUCCCAGUUCAGGAAUUGAAAGCUGCUUGUUUGAAAUAUUGAUGGACAAACUGGCUGGACAUGAAGCAAACAGUGGCUCAGAGCACUUUGCCUUUCUACCCUGGUCAGAGUUUAGGUUGGGAAAUGGCAGGCUGAGUUAUUUCUAAUCUGUAAAUGCUGUUGUUUGCUGUACAGCAAAUGAAAGUCUGUCUGUGGCUCCAGAAAACAGCUCAGUGAUAAGCAGGUGGAAACCAGGAUCAAGGAAGGAGCAGGACAAAUGCUUUUUGCCAUGUCCCUCUCUCUGCACAAAAAAUAUUUUGACUUCCUGCAGAAGGAAAACCACAUCCCUUACUCUGGCUGUGCUCCUUGAUGUUCCCUUAACCAGGUACCAACCCAUCAGCACCCAAAUGCACGGGGCAGACCCACAGCCCAGCAGCCCUGGUGCCAGGGUGAGACCUGGAGCUUUGAUUUUUGAAGACUGAAGCAAGAAAGAAAUGAACAGAGAGAUGUGAAAGAAGGAGUUUGCAAGCAACUGAGAUGAUACCUGUAAGUGCUUUUUCCUCUGCGAGCUUGGCCGAUGGACACACAGAACUUUUGGUCUUCAAAACAAAAACCUCAUUUCUUUAUGCUGUUAAAAAUUAAUAUGUGGUGGUUAUUAGCUGAUGCUGAAGUGGUAGAAUGCAAAGGAAACAUUUUGCAGUUCUAUUUGCUUUCCAAAGUAAGAGUCAGGACUUGUUAUUGGAUAGCAACGAUGUGUCAUCAUAUACAUAUAUACACACAUACACUUAAAAAGGACCAUGUUAAUAUUUAACUGAAUUGGUUCAUAUUUUUGACUACAAAUCUAGGUUUAUUUGCUGCAAGUCUCAGGUGUAUUUGAAAGCCAGGACUGUCAUAUGUAGUUCUAAGGAUCUGACCAUCUU
This is a long non-coding RNA of Pseudopipra pipra, 7930 nucleotides long. RefSeq lists it as uncharacterized. The transcript is spliced from 3 exons. NCBI's taxonomy places the organism in Eukaryota, Metazoa, Chordata, Aves, Passeriformes, Pipridae. The record is from RefSeq and is a predicted model, not a curated record.